This 427-nucleotide ribosomal RNA is filed under the name uncultured Pseudomonas sp. Its description in RNAcentral is "bacterial SSU rRNA". It matches the Rfam family "Bacterial small subunit ribosomal RNA", at positions 355 to 774 of the family's 1533-position model. Lineage: Bacteria; Pseudomonadati; Pseudomonadota; Gammaproteobacteria; Pseudomonadales; Pseudomonadaceae. The record is from RNAcentral.
UGGGGAAUAUUGGACAAUGGGCGAAAGCCUGAUCCAGCCAUGCCGCGUGUGUGAAGAAGGUCUUCGGAUUGUAAAGCACUGUAAGUUGGGAGGAAGGGCAGUAAAUUAAUACUUUGCUGUUUUGACGUUACCGACAGAAUAAGCACCGGCUAACUCUGUGCCAGCAGCCGCGGUAAUACAGAGGGUGCAAGCGUUAAUCGGAAUUACUGGGCGUAAAGCGCGCGUAGGUGGUUUGUUAAGUUGGAUGUGAAAGCCCCGGGCUCAACCUGGGAACUGCAUUCAAAACUGACAAGCUAGAGUAUGGUAGAGGGUGGUGGAAUUUCCUGUGUAGCGGUGAAAUGCGUAGAUAUAGGAAGGAACACCAGUGGCGAAGGCGACCACCUGGACUGAUACUGACACUGAGGUGCGAAAGCGUGGGGAGCAAACA